Arachis ipaensis is the source of this 472-nucleotide non-coding RNA. Lineage: Eukaryota; Viridiplantae; Streptophyta; Magnoliopsida; Fabales; Fabaceae. The record is from RefSeq and is a predicted model, not a curated record.
UAAUUUCCUGGCUGAAUAUUAUGCCCUUAAACUCUGUUCUUUAAUAGUGUACGUCAAAUACCUCAUUUUCUGUUAUUUCUCUUUUAUAGAGACAGCAUUUUAUGCAUUGAAGAGAAUGCAAAAAAAGAAACGAAAAAUUGUUGAUCGCCGUGCCUCAAAAAGCCGCAAGAUAAGGUAUAAUGCUCAUGAAAAGAUAGUAAACUUUAUGGCCCCUCAACCGAUGAAUCUUCCUCCUAAGGAUCCAAAGUUAUUUGAGAAUUUGUUCGGAUUGAAGACUCAAAGAUCAUCUACUGCAGCCUCAUAAUCAUGGUUGGCAAACAGAAACAUAUGUUGUAUCAAUUUUCCAACACUACCAAAGGAAAUUUAAUUUCUUGCCCGUGCAGGCCAAAAUUUUGCUCUAUGUACUCCAUAUCUAUUCAGGAUAGAUGUGCCUAAGAGAUUUUGAUUAAUUUAAGCUAGCUUAUGUUGUUUU